RNAcentral lists this ribosomal RNA (570 nucleotides) under uncultured bacterium. Its description in RNAcentral is "bacterial SSU rRNA". It matches the Rfam family "Bacterial small subunit ribosomal RNA", at positions 337 to 917 of the family's 1533-position model. The record is from RNAcentral.
UCCUACGGGAGGCAGCAGUAGGGAAUCUUGCGCAAUGGGCGAAAGCCUGACGCAGCGACGCCGCGUGCGGGACGAAGGCCUUCGGGUUGUAAACCGCUUUCAGCAGGGACGAAGCGAAAGUGACGGUACCUGCAGAAGAAGGUCCGGCCAACUACGUGCCAGCAGCCGCGGUAAUACGUAGGGACCGAGCGUUGUCCGGAUUCAUUGGGCGUAAAGAGCUCGUAGGCGGCUGCUCAAGUCGAAUGUGAAACCUCGAGGCUUAACCUCGAGCCUGCAUUCGAUACUGGGCGGCUAGGGUCUGGUAGGGGGAUCUGGAAUUCCUGGUGUAGCGGUGGAAUGCGCAGAUAUCAGGAGGAACACCGGUGGCGAAGGCGGGAUCCUGGGCCAGUACUGACGCUGAGGAGCGAAAGCGUGGGGAGCAAACAGGAUUAGAUACCCUGGUAGUCCACGCCGUAAACGAUGGGCGCUAGGUGUGGGAGGUCAUCGACUCCUUCCGUGCCGCAGCUAACGCAUUAAGCGCCCCGCCUGGGGAGUACGGCCGCAAGGCUAAAACUCAAAGGAAUUGACGGA